Molecule: ribosomal RNA, 253 nt
Filed under: uncultured bacterium
Lineage: Bacteria
Description: partial 16S ribosomal RNA
Rfam family: Bacterial small subunit ribosomal RNA
Source: RNAcentral
UACAGAGGGGGCAAGCGUUGUUCGGAAUUACUGGGCGUAAAGGGCGCGUAGGCGGCCUGCUAAGUCGAACGUGAAAUCCCCGGGCUCAACCCGGGAACUGCGUCCGAUACUGGCAGGCUUGAAUCCGGGAGAGGGAUGUGGAAUUCCAGGUGUAGCGGUGAAAUGCGUAGAUAUCCGGAGGAAUACCAGUGGCGCAAGCGGCGCUCUGGGUCGAGCCUGACACUGAGACGCGAAGGCAUGGGGAGCGAACGGG